Molecule: ribosomal RNA, 253 nt
Filed under: uncultured bacterium
Lineage: Bacteria
Description: partial 16S ribosomal RNA
Rfam family: Bacterial small subunit ribosomal RNA
Source: RNAcentral
UACGUAGGUGGCGAGCGUUGUCCGGAUUUACUGGGCGUAAAGAGCGCGCAGGCGGCUGGUCAAGUCCGAUGUGAAAGCUCCCGGCUUAACUGGGAAAUUGCAUCGGAAACUGAUCGGCUGGAAGGUGGGAGAGGGUAGCGGAAUUCCCGGUGUAGUGGUGAAAUGCGUAGAUAUCAGGAGGAACACCGGUGGCGAAGGCGGCUAUCUGGACAGAAACUGACGCUGAGGCGCGAAAGCUAGGGGAGCAAACAGG